Molecule: ribosomal RNA, 458 nt
Filed under: uncultured bacterium
Lineage: Bacteria
Description: partial 16S ribosomal RNA
Rfam family: Bacterial small subunit ribosomal RNA
Source: RNAcentral
CCUACGGGAGGCAGCAGUGAGGAAUAUUGGUCAAUGGGCGAGAGCCUGAACCAGCCAAGUCGCGUGAGGGAGUACUGCCCUAUGGGUUGUAAACCUCUUUUGUCGGGGAGCAAAAGCCGGACGUGUCCGGCUGUGAGAGUACCCGAAGAAAAAGCAUCGGCUAACUCCGUGCCAGCAGCCGCGGUAAUACGGAGGAUGCGAGCGGUAUGGGGAUUUAUUGGGUUUAAAGGGUGCGGAGGCGGAUUUUUAAGUCCGGGGUCAAUUCGUGGGGUUCAACCCCAUCCAACCGGUGAAACUGGGGAUCUAGAGUGUGCGAGGGGGAUGCGGAAUGCGUGGUGUAGCGGUGAAAUGCAUAGAUAUCACGCAGAACCCCGAUUGCGAAGGCAGCAUACCGGUGCACAACUGACGCUCAGGCACGAAAGCGUGGGUAUCGAACAGGAUUAGAUACCCGGGUAGUC